AGUGAACGCUGGCGGUAGGCCUAACACAUGCAAGUCGAACGGCAGCACAGUAAGAGCUUGCUCUUACGGGUGGCGAGUGGCGGACGGGUGAGGAAUACAUCGGAAUCUACUUUUUCGUGGGGGAUAACGUAGGGAAACUUACGCUAAUACCGCAUACGACCUACGGGUGAAAGCAGGGGAUCUUCGGACCUUGCGCGAUUGAAUGAGCCGAUGUCGGAUUAGCUAGUUGGCGGGGUAAAGGCCCACCAAGGCGACGAUCCGUAGCUGGUCUGAGAGGAUGGUCAGCCACACUGGAUCUGAGAAACGGCCCAGACUCCUACGGGAGGACGCAGUGGGGAAUAUUGGACAAUGGGCGCAAGCCUGAUCCAGCCAUACCGCGUGGGUGCAGAAGGCCUUCGGGUUGUAAAGCCCUUUUGUUGGGAAAGAAAAGCAGCAGGUUAAUACCCCGCUGUUCUGACGGUACCCAAAGAAUAAGCACCGGCUAACUUCGUG
RNAcentral lists this ribosomal RNA (492 nucleotides) under uncultured bacterium. Its description in RNAcentral is "partial 16S ribosomal RNA". It matches the Rfam family "Bacterial small subunit ribosomal RNA", at positions 29 to 507 of the family's 1533-position model. The record is from RNAcentral.